UGAGGUGUCGCCAAGUGGCUAAGGCAUCGGACUUUGAAUCCGACAUCCGUAGGUUCGAAUCCUACCACCUCAG
Molecule: transfer RNA, 73 nt
Filed under: Chloroflexota bacterium
Lineage: Bacteria; Bacillati; Chloroflexota
Also listed under: 2 other names
Description: Chloroflexi bacterium (wastewater metagenome) tRNA-Gln
Rfam family: tRNA
About the family: Transfer RNA (tRNA) molecules are approximately 80 nucleotides in length. Their secondary structure includes four short double-helical elements and three loops (D, anti-codon, and T loops).
Source: RNAcentral